This 329-nucleotide unclassified non-coding RNA is filed under the name soil metagenome. RNAcentral describes it as "partial contains 5.8S ribosomal RNA, internal transcribed spacer 2, and large subunit ribosomal RNA". The stretch from base 1 to 120 matches the Rfam family "5.8S ribosomal RNA", at positions 35 to 154 of the family's 154-position model. The record is from RNAcentral.
GAUGAAGAACGUAGCGAAAUGCGAUAAGUAAUGUGAAUUGCAGAAUUCAGUGAAUCAUCGAAUCUUUGAACGCACAUUGCGCCCCUUGGUAUCCCGAGGGGCAUGCCUGUUCGAGCGUCAUUUCACCACUCAAGCCUGGCUUGGUGUUGGGCGACGUCCUCUUUGGGGACGCGCCUCGAAACGCUCGGCGGCGUGGCACCGGCUUUAAGCGUAGCAGAAUCUUUCGCUUUGGAAGUCGGGGCCCCGUCUGCCGGAAGACCUGCUCGCAAGGUUAACCUCGGAUCAGGCAGGGAUACCCGCUGAACUUAAGCAUAUCAAUAAGCGGAGGA